This 253-nucleotide ribosomal RNA is filed under the name uncultured bacterium. Its description in RNAcentral is "partial 16S ribosomal RNA". It matches the Rfam family "Bacterial small subunit ribosomal RNA", at positions 524 to 776 of the family's 1533-position model. The record is from RNAcentral.
UACAGAGACCUCAAGCGUUAUCCGGAUUUAUUGGGCGUAAAGCGUCCGCAGGUGGUUUCUUAAGUCAUCGGUCAAAUCCUGGGGCUCAACCCCAGACCUGCCGAUGAUACUGGGAAACUUGAGGCCAGUAGAGGCAAGCGGAAUUACAGGUGUAGCGGUAAAAUGCGUUUAUAUCUGUAAGAACACCAAAGGCGAAAGCAGCUUGCUGGAAUGGUCCUGACACUCAUGGACGAAAGCGUGGGGAGCGAAAAGG